AUACAUACGGAUGGCACGGGUGUUUUCGGGGUAAAAGGACCCACGGCGCCGAAGGCGUCAAGGAACACUGUGCCUAACGAGGGGAUGUGGCUGGCUUGCUAGCCGCACCCCGAGUUGCAAUUCUAUAUAAUCCACACGACUCUCGGCAACGGAUAUCUCGGCUCUCGCAUCGAUGAAGAACGUAGCGAAAUGCGAUACCUGGUGUGAAUUGCAGAAUCCCGCGAACCAUCGAGUCUUUGAACGCAAGUUGCGCCCGAGGCCUCUUGGCCGAGGGCACGCCUGCCUGGGCGUCACGCCAAACACGCUCCCACCCAACUAACUUGGGGUGGGACGCGGCAUGUGGCUCCUCGUCUCGCAAGGGGCGGUGGGCCAAAGAUCCGGCUGCCGGCCUAUCGUGCCGGACACAGCGCGUGGUAGGCGACCUCGCUUUACUAAACGCAGUGCCUCUGGUGCGUAGCCGACGCGAUGGCCCCAAUGGACCCUUUUAACGGAGUGCAUGACGCUUCGACCGCGACCCCAGGUCAGGCGGGACUACCCGCUGAA
RNAcentral lists this ribosomal RNA (543 nucleotides) under embryophyte environmental sample. Its description in RNAcentral is "eukaryotic LSU rRNA". The stretch from base 138 to 293 matches the Rfam family "5.8S ribosomal RNA". The record is from RNAcentral. Lineage: Eukaryota; Viridiplantae; Streptophyta.